Molecule: long non-coding RNA, 1031 nt
Organism: Humulus lupulus (European hop)
Lineage: Eukaryota; Viridiplantae; Streptophyta; Magnoliopsida; Rosales; Cannabaceae
Exons: 2
Source: RefSeq, a predicted model, not a curated record
UGUAUAAGAGGAAAAAUGGCACUCCAAUAUUUCUCCACAUGUAAAUUAAAUAAAACAAAUAAAUUAUUUUUAAACCAUCUGAAAAGAUUUAAAAAUAUAUCUAACUAAUUAUAUUAUAUUAUUAUUAAAACAUUUAAAAUAAAAAAACUGAAAAAGUAAAAGGAAUAGAAAACGAUAGAGAGGGAGAAAAGACGAAAAAAAAUCGAUAAAACAGAGAAGAAGAAGAAGAAGAAGAAGAAGAAGAAGAAGAAGAAGAAGGAUUGUUGCUGUAGGAGACGAAAAUCACAGGCAAAAAAAAAAGAAAAAAAAAGGACAAAAUACUUCCUGUAUUUGAAGAAUACGAAAAGAACAUCCAUGGAGUUUUGUAAAUGUAGAGAGCGAAAACCUGCAGUUGAACGAACCUCUUGGACUCUAGACAACCCAGGUCGUUGUUUCUUUACAUGCCAUAAGAUGCGGGAUUUAGGAGGUUGCAAUUUCUUCAAAUGGAUUGAUCCCCCAUGUGUGCAAGGUCUAUUGAAGUGAUUCCCAGACUUUUGAAGAAAAUACGUGGUUUAGAGAGUAAAAUCCAUGCUUUAGAGAGGCGAAGAAUUGAUGAACUUUGUGAAGAAGUUGAUUCAUUUUGCCAAAGUUGUGCUGAGAGUAGUAAAUUGAUUGAAUCAUCUUGUGAACAAUUUGGUUUUUGGAGAAAAUAUAAAAAAAGAACAAUUUUGAUUUCUUUGCUUGUUUUGUUUCUGUGUUGGUAUGUAAUUUAAGGUAAAACUGAGAUAUUUGUAAAAUAUAUAGUGAAGUAUGCUUUUAAUGGUUUUAUGGUGACUGAAACUUCAUUAUUGGCAGGCAUAACAAAAUGGUAUUUCGUUUUGGAGAUUGGUCUUUGUGUUUAGCAAUAUUAGUACUAGUAUUGAGCAGCAUAUCAAGUUCAAAUUCUCUGAGGAUCAAAAAACAAAUUAAGACCAAAUCUGCUGUAUUUCUAUCCCCUGAGUUUGAGUUGGGACCAGGAUCAGUGGUCAAUAGAUUUUAAUGUUGGAAACCCA